GAGUGCGUAGCUCAAUUGGCGGAGCACCAUGCUUUUAACAUGGGGGAUGCAGGUUCGAGGCCUGCCGCGCUCA
This 73-nucleotide transfer RNA is filed under the name Saprospiraceae bacterium. RNAcentral describes it as "tRNA-Lys". It matches the Rfam family "tRNA". Rfam says of the family: Transfer RNA (tRNA) molecules are approximately 80 nucleotides in length. Their secondary structure includes four short double-helical elements and three loops (D, anti-codon, and T loops). Further hydrogen bonds mediate the characteristic L-shaped molecular structure. tRNAs have two regions of fundamental functional importance: the anti-codon, which is responsible for specific mRNA codon recognition, and the 3' end, to which the tRNAs corresponding amino acid is attached (by aminoacyl-tRNA synthetases). tRNAs cope with the degeneracy of the genetic code in two manners: having more than one tRNA (with a specific anti-codon) for a particular amino acid; and 'wobble' base-pairing, i.e. permitting non-standard base-pairing at the 3rd anti-codon position. The record is from RNAcentral. Lineage: Bacteria; Pseudomonadati; Bacteroidota; Saprospiria; Saprospirales; Saprospiraceae.